GUAGCGCAAUGGGUAGCGCGUUGGACUUCUAAUCCAUAGAUUGUGGGUUCGAAUUCCAUUUAAUUUCU
Non-coding RNA from Trichonephila clavata, 68 nucleotides. The record is from the annotation of a GenBank genome assembly. Lineage: Eukaryota; Metazoa; Arthropoda; Arachnida; Araneae; Nephilidae.